GCCAAACAUGCAAACGCAGACUCGUUAUCUAGACUUCCACUUAAAAGUACUGAAGUAGACACUUCAUUGAAAAUGGUGGAAUCUUUCCAUAUUGCUCAAAUGGAAGCAAUUCCCGUUUCGAACAAACAAGUUCAGCAGGAAACAAGAAAUGACCGUGUUUUGGGACUUAUAACUACCUUCUCACAGGCUGGCUGGAACACUAUUCACAAAGAUGGUGAAUAUGCGCCAUAUUAUUCUAGACGAAAUGAUCUUACUGUACAUCAAGGAUGCCUUAUGUGGGGCGUGAGAGUGAUAAUUCCUAGUAAACUUCGCAGUCAGGUAUUAGGACAGAUCCAUGAAAGACAUCUUGGUGUCGUUCAAAUGAAAGCAUUAGCCAGAAGUUUUGUUUGGUGGUCAGGAAUCGACCAG
RNAcentral lists this long non-coding RNA (408 nucleotides) under Mytilus galloprovincialis (Mediterranean mussel). Lineage: Eukaryota; Metazoa; Mollusca; Bivalvia; Mytilida; Mytilidae. The record is from RNAcentral.